This is a non-coding RNA of Paramuricea clavata, 732 nucleotides long. The record is from the annotation of a GenBank genome assembly. NCBI's taxonomy places the organism in Eukaryota, Metazoa, Cnidaria, Anthozoa, Malacalcyonacea, Plexauridae.
GGCUUGUGGAACGUGACUACAGUAUCUAAUUAGAGAGGUUAAGAUACCCCGGUUUCGGUGUACGUGUACGGGUAUAGCAUGAUUUUGGUUAGCAAUAUUUUCGUCGAUGCCUGUACCUUUACUCGUAAUUAAGGUGCACAUUUUUCGCAUUAUAUCAUUGUCUAUUGCAAGAAAACAGAAAAAGUAUGAUCGAAUUACAGACAUCAGUAAAACAAGAUGACACUACUCGUACUCGUACACCGAAACCAGGGUAUCUUAACCUCUCUAUUGAUAGUCCAAACACUCCGUUUGCAUGUACAUCGUGCUUUACGCGCUUAGACAAUCUUAAUCGGAUUAGGUGUAUAUGCAUAACAAAGAUUUCAGUGAAGCGCGCAUUCACAAUGAAGUGUUCAUUGAUUAUACAGGUUCCCUAGGACUUGUAAAGUCGGUAAUACACACAGUUUUAUUUGCUCGUCUCUAUACGCAACUUUGCCAAUUUUUACCAUGUCAAGUACACCUGUUCAAAGGCUAGUAUGCUAUAGCUUUUGGAGAAGUGCGCGCGUGUCAUAGAAAAAAUUGGCAAAGUUGCAUAUAGACAUAGAUAUCUUAUAUACACUAGAUAGUGCAUCUAAUUAUUCUGCAAUUCAAAAAUUUAAGCCGUGAUUGCAGUCUCAGGUCGUUCCCAUGAAAUGAGAGAAGAUUCGUAUAUUUCCUAUUUCUUAAACAGGGGACUUGAAUAUUAAGUUAACUGAC